Molecule: ribosomal RNA, 251 nt
Filed under: uncultured prokaryote
Description: partial 16S rRNA
Rfam family: Bacterial small subunit ribosomal RNA
Source: RNAcentral
ACGGAGGAUGCAAGCGUUAUCCGGAUUCAUUGGGUUUAAAGGGUGCGUAGGCGGCUCUUUAAGUCAGUGGUGAAAUCCUGUCGCUCAACGAUAGAAUUGCCAUUGAUACUGGAGAGCUUGAGUUCAGUUGAGGUAAGCGGAAUGUGUAGUGUAGCUGUAAAAUGCUUAGAUAUUACACAGAACAACAAUUGCGAAGGCAGCUUGCAGACCUAUCACUGAAGCUGAUGCGCGAAAGCGUGGGGAUCGAAGAG